GGAGUUGUAGCUCAGUGGUAGAGCACUUGCCUAGCAUGUGUGAAGCCCUGGGUUCGAUCCCCAGUACCA
This 69-nucleotide transfer RNA is filed under the name Ictidomys tridecemlineatus (thirteen-lined ground squirrel). RNAcentral describes it as "Spermophilus tridecemlineatus (thirteen-lined ground squirrel) tRNA". It matches the Rfam family "tRNA". Rfam says of the family: Transfer RNA (tRNA) molecules are approximately 80 nucleotides in length. Their secondary structure includes four short double-helical elements and three loops (D, anti-codon, and T loops). Lineage: Eukaryota; Metazoa; Chordata; Mammalia; Rodentia; Sciuridae. The record is from Rfam by way of RNAcentral.